UACGUAGGGUGCGAGCGUUAAUCGGAAUUACUGGGCGUAAAGCGUGCGCAGGCGGUUGGUUAAGUCUGAUGUGAAAGCCCCGGGCUCAACCUGGGAAUGGCAUUGGGAACUGGCUGGCUAGAGUGUGGCAGAGGGGGGUGGAAUUCCGCGUGUAGCAGUGAAAUGCGUAGAGAUGCGGAGGAACACCGAUGGCGAAGGCAGCCCCCUGGGCUAGCACUGACGCUCAGGCACGAAAGCGUGGGGAGCAAACAGG
Molecule: ribosomal RNA, 253 nt
Filed under: uncultured bacterium
Lineage: Bacteria
Description: partial 16S ribosomal RNA
Rfam family: Bacterial small subunit ribosomal RNA
Source: RNAcentral